AUUGAACGCUGGCGGCAUGCCUUACACAUGCAAGUCGAGCGGUAACAGGUCCUCGGAUGCUGACGAGUGGCGAACGGGUGAGUAAUACAUCGGAACGUACCUAGUAGUGGGGGAUAACUACUCGAAAGAGUGGCUAAUACCACAUGAGAUCUACGGAUGAAAGCAGGGGAUCGCAAGACCUUGUGCUACUAGAGCGGCCGAUGGCGGAUUAGGUAGUUGGUGGGAUAAAAGCUUACCAAGCCGACGAUCUGUAGCUGGUCUGAGAGGACGAUCAGCCACACUGGGACUGAGAAACGGCCCAGACUCCUACGGGAGGCAGCAGUGGGGAAUUUUGGACAAUGGGCGCAAGCCUGAUCCAGCAAUGCCGCGUGCAGGAUGAAGGCCUUCGGGUUGUAAACUGCUUUUGUACGGAACGAAAAGCCCCGGGUUAAUACCCUGGGGUCAUGACGGUACCGUAAGAAUAAGCACCGGCUAACUACGUGCCAGCAGCCGCCGUAA
Molecule: ribosomal RNA, 498 nt
Filed under: uncultured bacterium
Lineage: Bacteria
Description: partial 16S ribosomal RNA
Rfam family: Bacterial small subunit ribosomal RNA
Source: RNAcentral